GUGCUCACUUCGGCAGCACAUAUACUAAAAUUGGAACGAUACAGAAAAGAUUAGCAUGGCCCCUGCACAAGGAUGACAUGCAAAUUCAUGAAGUGUUCCAUAUUUUA
Molecule: small nuclear RNA, 107 nt
Filed under: Balaenoptera musculus (blue whale)
Lineage: Eukaryota; Metazoa; Chordata; Mammalia; Artiodactyla; Balaenopteridae
Source: RNAcentral